UACGUAGGUGACAAGCGUUGUCCGGAUUUACUGGGCGUAAAGAGCGCGCAGGCGGUCGUUCAAGUCGAGUGUGAAAGCCCCCGGCUCAACUGGGGAGGGUCAUUCGAUACUGAUCGACUCGAAGGCAGGAGAGGGUAGUGGAAUUCCCGGUGUAGUGGUGAAAUGCGUAGAUAUCGGGAGGAACACCAGUGGCGAAGGCGACUACCUGGCCUGUUCUUGACGCUGAGGCGCGAAAGCGUGGGUAGCAAACAGG
This 253-nucleotide ribosomal RNA is filed under the name uncultured bacterium. RNAcentral describes it as "partial 16S ribosomal RNA". It matches the Rfam family "Bacterial small subunit ribosomal RNA", at positions 524 to 776 of the family's 1533-position model. The record is from RNAcentral.